Molecule: ribosomal RNA, 293 nt
Filed under: uncultured prokaryote
Description: partial 16S ribosomal RNA
Rfam family: Archaeal small subunit ribosomal RNA
Source: RNAcentral
GUGCCAGCCGCCGCGGUAAUACCGGCAGCCCAAGUGAUGGCCGAUUUUAUUGGGCCUAAAGCGUCCGUAGCUGGCCGCACAAGUCCAUCGGGAAAUCCACCCGCUCAACGGGUGGACGUCCGGUGGAAACUGUGUGGCUUGGGACCGGAAGGCGCGACGGGUACGUCCGGGGUAGGAGUGAAAUCCCGUAAUCCUGGACGGACCGCCGAUGGCGAAAGCACGUCGCGAGAACGGAUCCGACAGUGAGGGACGAAAGCUAGGGUCUCGAACCGGAUUAGAAACCCCUGUAGUCC